AAACGAUAAGGCAAAACUGAUUCAAAUAUAUCGGCAAUUUAGUUUCCAUUAAGAAAUCAUUCAGUUCGGAACUAAAGUCGUAAGUUCCAUGUGCAGUGAAGAAUACAAUAAAGCAGAUGCCCCCAAUAUAGCCUACAGCUGCCGCGGGCACCAAGAUAAGUAUACAAUUAUUUAAAUGGAAGGACAAUAAAAGAAUGUGAACACGUUAAAGGAUCUUCAACAUUCUCACUCAGUAUUUGCAACAUCGCUAUUGAAUUAAUAAAUAAUAUAAGCAUACAUGUAGAAUUUCCAAAAUUACUUUCAAUAUUUUAUACUGUUUAGUAAUCCAAAAUAGUACCAGCAUAAUUACUUACCAUUUCUUACAUUAU
Ceratitis capitata (Mediterranean fruit fly) is the source of this 368-nucleotide long non-coding RNA. RefSeq lists it as uncharacterized. The record is from RefSeq and is a predicted model, not a curated record. The transcript is spliced from 3 exons. NCBI's taxonomy places the organism in Eukaryota, Metazoa, Arthropoda, Insecta, Diptera, Tephritidae.